AUGGCGACUCCGCAACCUCCAAAAUUUAAAUUCAACGAUUUUCUAGAUCAACGUAUGCAAGAUAGGUCAGGAGGAAAGGAACAGUGGAAGUCAAUAAAGAAGGUUUGGGAAGGGUUGAAGUUGAAGUGGACACAGGCAGGUUACCUAGUAGGGGGAACUCCAAAUAGGAUCCAGCUUAGCACAAUGGAAGGCGAGUUGAGUGAAGCAUUACAGGAAGCUAAAGACAAGGAGAUAGAGCAGAGCAAGUUGCAUGUAUUCAAGAAGGAAGGGACUAAACAGAGAGAGAAAGCAGAAGCUGAAUUGAAAAUAGGCACUUGGGCUAUCGAGGAGACCCGUAGAGCACAACUGAACAAAAAAACGGAAAUGAUGGGGGUAGUGGCUGGGGCGGAGGUGGAGUCAUCAAUGGAGGCGACACAGGGGAGUGACGAAAUCCAACCGGCCCCUGUAGCAGCCUCCCCCAAUCCUGAGUCAUGUAUGUACCCGAAACUACCAGAGGAGGCCACUCAACCACCACCAUAUUCAUUGACAACCCAAGCUCCCUCAGCCCCCUCCAUACAGGCACCAGUGCUCCGCAUCGAUGAAGGCCUGCUACAGGGACAGGUGUCAAUGCAGUUGACUGGAGGUUAUAUAGACUGUGGGGAGGUAGAACGAACCUCCACUCCCUGCUCUCUAGAAGGCGGAUUGGUGCCCACACCCCAGGGGGGUCGAAGCCUACAAGAAUGUGGAGAAAGGAGCCGUGACUCAGGUGAAUCAUUUAAAUUCUCCCGAGAACCCUUAAUGAACACAAGCCUACCGCAGUCAUCAAGUCAUCAGACACUCUCGUCUCGCUCUCUUAGCCCAAAGCAUUCCCUACAGUUCAGACAGCUACCAACCUCCAUCAGAUCCCCCGCAUCUCGAAGUGUGGGGACAGCCAGAUCCUACCUGAACAAAAGAACAGGGGACACUACUGCAUACAGAAGGGGACAGGAGGAUACCUAUCCUGAAAUAGAUGUCCAACGGGAAUAUAUCUGGACAUCCAAUGAGCCUGAGGAAGAGGAAGAAGAAGAACCAGAGAGAGCGACCAGAGAAGACGUAUGGGCUGCUGCCCAACAACUUGAUGCAGAAGCAAGACAGGAAACCGGAAGAGGUGGACCGUUUCAACUGAGUGGGGUCUACCUGGGAGAUGUUGUUGACCUCCAUGGACAGAUACCGUCAGAGCCGGUACUUAGGAGAUCCCGGCGCCUACAAGACAAAAAUCAACCAAGGGGUGAACAAGGACUGCAAAUGCCUCUGAGACUGAGUGGAACUGGAAAAAAACGAAGAAUACGUGCCAUGGAAGUUGCAGGAUCUCACUGCAGUGAUGGAACAACUUCCAAGUCUCCACGGAGGUGCAUCAGCUUGGCUACUACAGUUGCAGACCCUCACAUCAGGAUUCCGGAUGGCACUGGGAGACAUGAAAGCGCUGUUGGCAAGAGCCACCGAUCACACCACCAUGAAUGUAUUGAUAAAUACCGCUGGUCUGGGGUCCAAGCCAGGUGCCACUCCGCCGGAGGUGUAUCGCACUCAACUAUGGGCAGAACUCAGAAGGGCCUACCCCACCGAGAAGAAUUUUGCGGCACUCUCAUCUUUCACCAUGCAUGCAGGAGAACAGGCAGCCGAAUAUCUGGACAGGGCUAA
Molecule: long non-coding RNA, 1656 nt
Filed under: Oncorhynchus kisutch (coho salmon)
Lineage: Eukaryota; Metazoa; Chordata; Actinopteri; Salmoniformes; Salmonidae
Description: lncRNA (ENSOKIG00005038690.1)
Source: RNAcentral